CCAUUAAUAAAUCUUACAAAUAAUCACUUAUAAAAAUAAUUCUACAUAAACUACUUCCAAAUAGUAAAAAAUAAAGGUACUGAAAAGGAGCAAAAAAUAAACUAAAGUAGUGAAUUACCACGUACCUUUUGCAUUAUGAUUUUACAAGUUUAAUUAUUAAUAAUAUAAUCCCGAAUCCUACACGAGCUGUCCCCGUAUAGUUAAGAACUCACCACUAGUUGUGGCAACAACUUUGGAAAAUACCCUGACAGAGGCUACAUACCACCCGCGCUAGAAAAUUGCUGGUUUUCAGAAAACUUUAUAAAUUAAAACAUGUAGAAGUCUACAGUGUAAGACUAUAGAGGACAAGCCCUAUAAUCUAAAGCUAAGCCUCAUUACUUUAUAUAACUAGGCCUAAAAACAGCCACCCUAAAUACGUUACUGUAUAAAAUACUUAAUUCCUAUAUUACCUGCAAUAAUCACCUGAAAUUUAAGAAAAAUAAUAAAUCUUUAUAUAUUCUGUAAAAAUAAGUAUUAAUCAUCCAAUCACCAAACCAUAAAAUAUCAUAUCUACUAACCAAAUGCUUAUAAAGGAACUCGGCAAAUCUUAUUUCGACUGUUUAACAAAAACAUUGCUUCCUGUACGCCCAUAUGAAGUAAUUCCUGCCCAGUGAAUUUUUUAACGGCCGCGGUAUCCUAACCGUGCAAAGGUAGCAUAAUCACUUGCCCAUUAAUUGUGGGCUAGAAUGAAAGGACUAACGAAAUAAAGACUGUCUCUAUAAGCCGUCUAAAAAUUAAUCUCUAACUGAAGAGUGUUAGAUUUAUUCGAAGGACAAGAAGACCCUAUAGAGCUUCAUUUAAACAAAAUUUUAAUAAUUUUUCUACAAUUCGGUUGGGGCGACCCGGGAAUAGUUAAUCAUCCCAUCUUAUCAGAUAAAUAUAUCAUACUUUUGACCCUUUAUAAAGAUCUUAAAAUUAAGCUACCUUAGGGAUAACAGGCUAAUCCUACUAAAGAGUCCUUAUCAAUAGUGGGGUUUGGCACCUCGAUGUUGGCUUAGGGAAUCCGUACGGCGCAAAAGUCGUACAUAGAUGGUUUGUUCAACCAAUAAUACCCUACAUGAGCUGAGUUCAGACCGGCGUAAGCCAGGUUAGUUUCUAUCCUCGAAAUUUCAAUCUAUUUACAGUACGAAAGGACCUAAAUAAGAGUAAUAUUUAUACUAAUAGAACCUUGUAACUAAAAUUAAAUAUCUAAAAACCUAAACUAUG
RNAcentral lists this ribosomal RNA (1245 nucleotides) under Eisenia nordenskioldi nordenskioldi. RNAcentral describes it as "16S ribosomal RNA". It matches the Rfam family "Bacterial large subunit ribosomal RNA", at positions 453 to 2781 of the family's 2925-position model. The record is from RNAcentral. Lineage: Eukaryota; Metazoa; Annelida; Clitellata; Crassiclitellata; Lumbricidae.